CAUUGUUGUAUUCUAUCCGCUCUUCUCGCUUAUGCCGUUUCUCUCUAAACUUUCUCUACCCAUUCUGAAAACUUCACGACAUAUUGGUUGCUUAAUCUGUAAUCCUUCUCCUAGUCUCUGAAACUCGCUAUUUUCACCAUUCCCUUUCUACCUCUGACCUUCGAUCUAAUCUGUUCACAACUCGUGACCGGUUGCACGGAAGAAAACCCUAACUUUGUCUUCAUCAAACUCAUGUAUAUCAAACACCACUCAACAAAAGGAUCGGUUGAAGAUUUUGGAGAACAGAUCUAGAAGAAAGCAAACAACACUAUAUAUCCAACAAAAACUACGACAUUUGUAAGAUGUCCACAAAAAAAUGGCAAGUAAUGGUGGCUGCUCGGAUUACACUGUGUGUGUAGACUAACAAAAAAAGAGACAAAUGAGUAGAUUUGAAGCAGAUAUGGCAAAAAAUGUAAAGGUAAUCAGAGAAGCAGAUAUGAUUCAAUUUGAAUCUCGAAAAACAGUGACAACAUAGUUCCUUACACAACGGAGCCUAAUAGCCUUGGUAGUUAGCUGUGGAUGGAGGUUUGCACCAACAAUGAAUUGGCCCUGGCCAGACAUCCUGUAGAGUUGCUUACUGGAAUUACAAUCGCUUUAGUGGGCGGGAUCGCUUACUGGAACUUGAAUUCUAUUUCGUUUUCCUUUACUCUUCGAUUGGUGGUAGAACAUGUCUCAAUCUGUAUGUAUAUAUAGCCGCAGAGAUGAUAACCUUUACAUAUUAUUAUAUUAAAAAAUGUAUAGACAUCACAGUCAUCCCAUACCCCUAAAGACUUAGAAGACACGCAAACUAUCAAGAGACCAUAUAUCUACAAACUCUAGAAUAGGCCAACAUCCUAAAUAUUAGCCUACAAUCACACGUAAAUCUAAUAUUUUGAUUU
Ipomoea nil (Japanese morning glory) is the source of this 917-nucleotide long non-coding RNA. RefSeq lists it as uncharacterized. The transcript has 3 exons. The record is from RefSeq and is a predicted model, not a curated record. Lineage: Eukaryota; Viridiplantae; Streptophyta; Magnoliopsida; Solanales; Convolvulaceae.